GCUUACGGCCAUACACCCUGAACGCGCCGAUCUCGUCUGAUCUCGGAAGCCAAGCAGGGUCGGGCCUGGUCAGUACUUGGACGGGAGACCGCCUGGGAAUACCAGGUGCUGUAAGCU
Molecule: ribosomal RNA, 117 nt
Filed under: Oreochromis niloticus (Nile tilapia)
Lineage: Eukaryota; Metazoa; Chordata; Actinopteri; Cichliformes; Cichlidae
Source: RNAcentral